RNAcentral lists this ribosomal RNA (588 nucleotides) under Cladophialophora sp. ASR-222. Its description in RNAcentral is "eukaryotic LSU rRNA". The stretch from base 234 to 388 matches the Rfam family "5.8S ribosomal RNA". The record is from RNAcentral. Lineage: Eukaryota; Fungi; Ascomycota; Eurotiomycetes; Chaetothyriales; Herpotrichiellaceae.
UUUCCGAGGUGAACCUGCCGAAGGAUCAUUAACGAGUUAGGGUCUCUUCGGCCCGACCUCCCAACCCUAUGUUUACUGAACCCCUGUUGCUUCGGCGGGCCCGUCUCACGACCGUCGGAGGAGUCGCCGCGAGGCGCCCUCUGACCAGCGCCCGCCGACGGCCAACCCAUGUCAAAACUCUGUAUAAAUCGUGUCAUGAUGUCUAAGUCUUUAUGAUUCAAUUUAAAACGCAAAACUUUCAACAACGGAUCUCUUGGUUCUGGCAUCGAUGAAGAACGCAGCGAAAUGCGAUAAGUAAUGCGAAUUGCAGAAUUCCAGUGAGUCAUCGAAUCUUUGAACGCACAUUGCGCCCUUUGGUAUUCCGAAGGGCAUGCCUGUUCGAGCGUCAUUAUCACCCCCUCAAGCCCCGUGCUUGGUGUUGGACGGCCGGUCGAGCGAUCGACCCCUCCGAAAGACAAUGACGGCGGCCCGUGGUUCCCCCGGCACACUGAGCUUUUCACCGAGCACGUGUCGGACGAGGGCACCCGGGCCCCGGUCCCCUCCUUUCAUCAGGAAACUUCUCCAGGUUGACCUCGGAUAAGGAGAAAG